This 526-nucleotide ribosomal RNA is filed under the name uncultured bacterium. RNAcentral describes it as "bacterial SSU rRNA". It matches the Rfam family "Bacterial small subunit ribosomal RNA", at positions 355 to 896 of the family's 1533-position model. The record is from RNAcentral.
UAGGGAAUAUUGCACAAUGGGCGCAAGCCUGAUGCAGCAACGCCGCGUGUGCGAAGAAGGCCUUCGGGUUGUAAAGCACUUUUCGGGGAGAAGAGGAAGGACGGUAUCCCCGGAAUAAGGUUCGGCUAACUACGUGCCAGCAGCCGCGGUAAAACGUAGGAACCGAGCGUUAUCCGAAUUCACUGGGCGUAAAGAGCGAGCAGGCGGUUGGGCAAGUUGGAUGUGAAAGCUUCCGGCUCAACUGGGAGAGGACGUACAAAACUACCCAACUAGAGGGCGGCAGAGGGAGGUGGAAUUCCCGGUGUAGUGGUGAAAUGCGUAGAUAUCGGGAGGAACACCAGAGGCGAAGGCGGCCUCCUGGGCCGUGCCUGACGCUGAGGAGCGAAAGCUAGGGGAGCGAACGGGAUUAGACACCCCGGUAGUCCUAGCUGUAAACGAUGUAGACUUGGUGUUGGUGGGGUAAAAGCCAUCGGUGCCGGAGCGAACGCGGUAAGUCUACCGCCUGGGGACUACGGCCGCAAGGUUA